This 549-nucleotide ribosomal RNA is filed under the name Zorotypus sp. 2 YM-2019. Its description in RNAcentral is "bacterial SSU rRNA". It matches the Rfam family "Eukaryotic small subunit ribosomal RNA", at positions 39 to 554 of the family's 1831-position model. Lineage: Eukaryota; Metazoa; Arthropoda; Insecta; Zoraptera; Zorotypidae. The record is from RNAcentral.
AAAGAUUAAGCCAUGCAAGUGUCAGUACGAGCUGAAUUAAAGCGAGACCGCGAAUGGCUCAGUAAAUCAGUUACGGUUCAUUUGAUGAAUUUUAUGAAAGACUUGGAUAACUGUGGCAAUUCCAGAGCUAAUACAUGCAUUAAAGUCCCGACCUUGCGGAAAGGACGCUUUUAUUAGAAUACAGAACCAGACCGAGGUUUAGGCAGCAAUGUCUUUACCGAAAACUCCCAGUGGCGAAUCUGAGUAACAUUGAACAGAUCGCAUGGCCAUAGAGCGUGGCGACGCAUCAUCCAAACGCCUGCUCUAUCAACUAGGAUGGCCGACUAUACGUCUACCAUGGUGUUGACGGGUGACGGGGAAUCAGGGUUCGAUUCCGGAGAGGGAGCCUGAGAAACUGCUACCACAUCCAAGGAAGGCAGCAGGCGCGCAAAUUACCCACUCCCGGCACGGGGAGGUAGUGACGAAGUAUAACGAUACGGGACUCCCAUCCGAGGCCCCGUGAUCGGAAUGAGACCGGUUCAGAGAACUGGUGUGAGUAUCCAUUGGAGG